RNAcentral lists this long non-coding RNA (201 nucleotides) under Hordeum vulgare. RNAcentral's name for it is "long non-coding RNA (HVUL_LNC013080)". The record is from RNAcentral. Lineage: Eukaryota; Viridiplantae; Streptophyta; Magnoliopsida; Poales; Poaceae.
UUGAAUUCUUGGAUGCGGAAGCAAAUAAAAUCUGAAGAUUUUGUCUACCAAUAGUCAUAGUUUACAUUCAUAGAUUGAAAAAUGUAAUAUAAUCCAAAAGAUCUUUUUCUUUCGUCCAGUUGAUGCAAAUUCUAUGGUGUAAUAUUCUUCAUAGUUGUGUUUUCUAUGCUAAAAAUGAUAUGAAUGAUAUCUUUAUUGUAA